Apteryx rowi (Okarito brown kiwi) is the source of this 2235-nucleotide long non-coding RNA. Lineage: Eukaryota; Metazoa; Chordata; Aves; Apterygiformes; Apterygidae. The record is from Ensembl.
GCCCAGUCCCAUCUACUUCCACUUCCAUCUCUAUUCUGCUUGUUCAGUAGCUAGCCCUCUAAGACAGACUGUAUAUGCCAAGGAUGCAUCUACAAGCUGCUUUUUCUUCUACUGUUAGACACCCACCCUCCACCACCAUUAGGCAUAAGGUCAGUUGCUUUAUAAUUAAUAUAUGUAACUAAGUAAUAGAGCCUCUUGUCUCUAUUAUGUGCAAAUAUUAAGCAACGUCUCUGAGCUAAACAGAAACACAAUAUUUAAAUGAGGGAUAUGGUAGGGCAUUUUAUCUGCCAAGAACAUAGAACAUGAAAUGAAGUAGCAGAGAUUAGGACUGGAAAUGCUGAUUAAAUUUAUUACAGCUUAGACUGGUGAGUCUGAGGCUUUUCCAACCAUGUUUUUCUACACUCUACAUUGUACAGACUUUGCGGAUCAAAUUCUGACUCCAGAAGCUCAUGUGAGUCUCUCACUAAAGUCAAAAAGACACACGCACAAGCGUCUGGAGGCAUAAUUUGGUCUCCUGAAUUUACAAAAGCACCAAUAUUACCCUCAGUGAGUUGGUCCUCUUCAGUAAUAUGUUCUUUCUUGAUGAUUUCCACUACAGAGCUGUCAUUGCCCUCUACCAGCCCACUGUUCUCCGCCGGUCCUGGCGAUGGUGACCCAGUGCCUUCCCCUGGUGCUGGUGGGGAAGGCCCAGUGCUCUCCUCUCGCCAUGCAGAUGGCAGCCCAGUGCUCUCCUCCGAUCCCAUGGGCAGGGGCUCAUUGCCCUCCGGCUCCUCCCUUUUGCUGACUGAAUCAAUCUUUUCUUCCAGUGCCAGAAUGAGAACAGCCUCACCUCCUGGGAGAUGCUCUUCCGGUUUUGUCUCCUCAGAGGCGAGACUCACAUCUUCCACUGGGUCCAGCUUUGUUUGGUCAGGAAAAACAGGGGAAAGAACUUUCUCAUACCAGAGGAUGAGCAUGCUUGAACACAUUACCCCCAGUGCAGCUACACACUACCUGCGACCAAUGGACAGAAGAAUAAGUAAAUGAAAAUUGCUAAGGUUGACUUUGCUAUCCUACCCAUUAGUAAUCCUCUGACUGUUGCCAACCACAAAAGAGCUUCAGGAAUUUGUUUUUUUWAAAAAAAAAAGCCCAAAUCUUUAUUGCCUCCAGUUCUUAAAACAAAAAAAUGGUUUGUAUUUUAAAGGUUAAACUAUCAUACAUACUACACUUCUUCUAAUUAAACAGCCAAUAACAGAAAGCCUGCGCUAAUCCAAACUGCUGAUUCUUUCAUAUGUGAUCAAAUUAUUGGCUAAGUAAAGCAAUGGGUCUUUUCAGCAGAUGAAAUUUAAGUCUGAAAAAUGGCAAAAUUCCUCUGACAGGUAUCUGACUGUUGGAAGACUCAAAAGAGCUAUGUAUACCUAUCAGACUGAUUUAAGAACUUUCUGAUUAAAUUCAGUUUGACAAUAGCUUGUACUUAGCCUUCUCACAAGGAAUGUCAAGAUGAAAACACUCAUUGGGAGUUUGUGCACAAAGUCUGUUAAUAUAAUAAUUAUGAGAUCUGGACAAAUUGUAUUUUCUGGGAAAAUGAUGAUUGUGGUGUCAAAGCUUGUGAGCAGAACGAUGUGGUACUUCCUGCGUGAUGUACGAGCGAUUCAAAAUCCCUAACCAGUGCCGUGAGCAGCAGCCGCCCAGCACAGCCACUGGGAAAUGCCGUGGCGGUGAGCGUACCGCUGACGGCAGCUCUUCCCGGACUGGUUCCUCCCCCUGCUCGAAAUUCAGAUUUACCUUYGCAGCCCCUCCGGGAGAUGUGACUCAAGAUCUCCCUCUCAGACCCUUCAGCAUGGAGAUUUAGCACCUACCGUGGCAGUCAGAGGGGAGCAAGUGCUUAAAGGUUUUUGUGGUCCUAGUCCUCAGUUACCCACAAGUUAAUUUAAUCUGUAUGCUAGCCGCAUGUCAGCAAAGCUAACGGUCACAGGGCAAAGCUUCAAGCCUUUGGUACAUUUGUUGAAAAUGUUAUUAGAGUAUUGCUAUUAGCUGUAUCAUGGUCUGUUUGUAACAUUGCAUUGGGAUUGUGCAUGUUACAGCAGCACAGCAGCUUGAUCAAAGAAUAGUGGUAUCUGUCAGCUUAACUUUUUUAAGUUUUCCAGCUAUUAACAUUCUAAAAAAAUGUAGAAAUUGUAAAAAUUGGUGGUUAUGGUUUAAAAAAAAAGGGGACAGAUAGCUCUUAAAGACAUAAGAAACAAACACAUUAAAUAAAAG